GCCGGGGUAGCUCAGUUGGUAGAGCGGCGGUUUCGUAAACCGCAGGUCGCCGGUUCAAGCCCGGCCCCCGGCUCCA
Molecule: transfer RNA, 76 nt
Filed under: Acidobacteriota bacterium
Lineage: Bacteria; Pseudomonadati; Acidobacteriota
Also listed under: 1 other name
Description: Acidobacteria bacterium tRNA-Thr
Rfam family: tRNA
About the family: Transfer RNA (tRNA) molecules are approximately 80 nucleotides in length. Their secondary structure includes four short double-helical elements and three loops (D, anti-codon, and T loops). Further hydrogen bonds mediate the characteristic L-shaped molecular structure. tRNAs have two regions of fundamental functional importance: the anti-codon, which is responsible for specific mRNA codon recognition, and the 3' end, to which the tRNAs corresponding amino acid is attached (by aminoacyl-tRNA synthetases). tRNAs cope with the degeneracy of the genetic code in two manners: having more than one tRNA (with a specific anti-codon) for a particular amino acid; and 'wobble' base-pairing, i.e. permitting non-standard base-pairing at the 3rd anti-codon position.
Source: RNAcentral